Molecule: ribosomal RNA, 555 nt
Filed under: uncultured bacterium
Lineage: Bacteria
Description: partial 16S ribosomal RNA
Rfam family: Bacterial small subunit ribosomal RNA
Source: RNAcentral
UGGGGAAUAUUGCACAAUGGGCGCAAGCCUGAUGCAGCCAUGCCGCGUGUGUGAAGAAGGCCUUCGGGUUGUAAAGCACUUUCAGCGAGGAGGAAGGUGGUGAACUUAAUACGUCAUCAAUUGACGUUACUCGCAGAAGAAGCACCGGCUAACUCCGUGCCAGCAGCCGCGGUAAUACGGAGGGUGCAAGCGUUAAUCGGAAUUACUGGGCGUAAAGCGCACGCAGGCGGUUUGUUAAGUCAGAUGUGAAAUCCCCGGGCUCAACCUGGGAACUGCAUUUGAAACUGGCAAGCUAGAGUCUCGUAGAGGGGGGUAGAAUUCCAGGUGUAGCGGUGAAAUGCGUAGAGAUCUGGAGGAAUACCGGUGGCGAAGGCGGCCCCCCUGGACGAAGACUGACGCUCAGGUGCGAAAGCGUGGGGCAGCAAACAGGAUUAGAUACCCUGGUAGUCCACGCUGUAAACGAUGUCGAUUUGGAGGUUGUGCCCUUGAGGCGUGGCUUCCGGAGCUAACGCGUUAAAUCGACCGCCUGGGGAGUACGGCCGCAAGGUUAAAACU